This 295-nucleotide unclassified non-coding RNA is filed under the name Hevea brasiliensis (rubber tree). It matches the Rfam family "Bacterial large subunit ribosomal RNA", at positions 2085 to 2385 of the family's 2925-position model. Lineage: Eukaryota; Viridiplantae; Streptophyta; Magnoliopsida; Malpighiales; Euphorbiaceae. The record is from RNAcentral.
AAGACCCCGUGAACCUUUACUAUAGCUUUGCACUGGACUUUGAAUUUGCUUGUGUAGGAUAGGUGGGAGGCUUUGAAGUGGGGACGCCAGUUCUCAUGGAGCCAUCCUUGAAAUACCACCCUGGCAACUUUGAGGUUCUAACUCAGGUCCGUUAUCCGGAUCGAGGACAGUGUAAAGCUAUAGUAAAGGUUCACGGGGUCUUUCCGUCUAGCGAGGAGUACGAAGGUGCGCUCAGACCGGUCGGAAAUCGGUCGUAGAGUAUAAAGGCAAAAGCGCGCUUGACUGCGAGACAGAC